Molecule: long non-coding RNA, 331 nt
Organism: Anneissia japonica
Lineage: Eukaryota; Metazoa; Echinodermata; Crinoidea; Comatulida; Comatulidae
Exons: 4
Source: RefSeq, a predicted model, not a curated record
UAGAUGUUGCACUUUUCAACAAUAAUUUCAACACAAUAAAUAUCGAAAGGUUGUUUCAGAACCGCAAGGGAAAGGCGCAAUAUAAAUACCCAGUACCAGUACCAGUUGUGUGUUGAUCGACAUUUUCAACCGCAACAGGGACGAGAGUGAAUGCCAUGAGAUUGUUAAUAAUAGACCUGCAUAGUUUCAUUCUAGUGUAUUUGAUGUUACUGUUGCUUGGUAUAUCUAUUGUGACACGUAGCCAAUUAGUGAUACCAUCUGGUCAGGUGGCCAAAGAAGGUGAUGAUGCAGUGGCGAUAGCAUGUGACUAUUCACAAGUUACUAAUACACC